GUAGGGGGCGGUAGUCGAGGGUGGUGGGAGAAGGAGGAGGCGGUGAAUCACUUAUAAAUGACACUGAAGCAGGACCCUAAGCCUAAAUUCCAGGAGGGUGAGCGAGUGCUGUGCUUUCAUGGGCCUCUUCUGUAUGAAGCAAAGUGUGUAAAGGUUGCCAUAAAGGACAAACAAGUGAAAUACUUCGUACAUUACAGUGGUUGGAAUGAAAAUUGGGACGAGUGAGUUCUGGAGAGCCGAGUAUUCAAAUAUGUGGACACCAAUUUGCAGAAACAGCGAGAACUUCAAAAAGCCAAUCAGGAGCAGUAUGCAGAGGGGAAGAUGAGAGGGGCUGCCCCAGGAAAGAAGACAUCUGGUCUGCAACAGAAAAAUGUGGAAGUGAAAACAAAAAAGAACAAACAGAAAACACCUGGAAAUGGAGAUGGUGGCAGUACCAGUGAGACCCCUCAGCCUCCUCAGAAGAAAAGGGCCCGGGUAGAUCCUACUGUUGAAAAUAAGGAAACAUUCAUGAACAGAGUUGAAGUUGUAAAGAUUCCUGAAGAACUAAAUCCGUGGCUUGUUGAUGACUGGGACUUAAUUCCCAGGCAAAAGCAGCUGUUUUAUUUUCCUGCCAAGAAGAAUGUGGAUUCCAUUCUUGAGGAUUAUGCAAAUUACAAGAAAUCUCAUGGAAACACAGACAAUAAGGAGUAUGCAGUUAAUGAAGUUGUGGCAGGGAUAAAAGAAUACUUCAGUGUAAUGUUGGGUACCCAGCUACUCUACAAAUUUGAGAGACCACAGUAUGCUGAAAUUCUUGCAAAUCACCCUGAUGCACCCAUGUCCCAGGUGUAUGGAGCGCCACAUCUACUGAGACUAUUUGUAUGAAUUGGAGCAAAAUUGGCCUAUACACUUCUGGAUGAGAAGAGCCUUGCUUUAUUACUGAAUUAUCUUCACGAUUUCCUAAAGUACCUGGCAAAGAAUUCUGCAACUUUGUUUAGUGCCGGUGAGUAUGAAGUGGCUCCUCCUGAGUACCAUCGGAAAGCUGUGUGAGAGCUGCUCUCACUCACCCAUGUUUGUAUCUCCAUAAACACAUUUUUGUUCUUAGUCUAUCUCUUGUACAAACGAUGUGCUUUGAAGAUGUUAGUGUAUAACAAUUGAUGUUUGUUUUCUGUUUGAUUUUAAACAGAGAAAAUAAAGGGGUAAUAGCUCAAAAAAAAAAAAAAAAAAAAAAGAAAGAAAGAAAGAAAGAAA
Non-coding RNA from Saimiri boliviensis boliviensis (Bolivian squirrel monkey), 1227 nucleotides. The record is from RefSeq and is a predicted model, not a curated record. Lineage: Eukaryota; Metazoa; Chordata; Mammalia; Primates; Cebidae.